This 415-nucleotide long non-coding RNA is filed under the name Ornithorhynchus anatinus (platypus). Its description in RNAcentral is "lncRNA (ENSOANG00000049522.1)". The record is from RNAcentral. Lineage: Eukaryota; Metazoa; Chordata; Mammalia; Monotremata; Ornithorhynchidae.
UUGGGAUUGGCUGGCUGAUUAGAUCCACUAUGGCUCAUGUUCCUGUGUUGGUGUCAUUUUAUCCCCUCAGAUAUGAUCCUUGAAAGCUCCCUGCAGCCAACUACAGAGAGGAUUUGGAGACUUACAGUGAAAUGACUGACACUAGGUCAACCGCCAAGAGCUGUGAGUGGGCUAGGGCGUGAAGGAGGUGAUGUGGAGACAAUGGAGCUGCUAACCCUGUGGUCAACGGUGGAUCCAACUGAUUCACUCACCUCGGCCCACUUCUGCUUUUGGGAUCAUGGUGUACCAGGAAGCUGAGCCAGGAUAUCUAUAUAUCCUGCAGAGAGAUCAGACUUCCUUGGGACCAGACUGGAUCUGGAGCGUGGACCGGAGUCUUGCAUCCCCCCAACACCUGGAUUUAGAGGUAGCCUACUGA